AGGAUGAACGCUAGCUACAGGCUUAACACAUGCAAGUCGAGGGGCAGCAUAUCGAAAGCUUGCUUUGAUGAUGGCGACCGGCGCACGGGUGAGUAACGCGUAUCCAACCUUCCCUAUACUAGAGGAUAGCCCGGCGAAAGUCGGAUUAAUACUCUAUGUUCUUCGUAGAAGACAUCUGAAAUGAAGCAAAGGUUUACCGGUAUAGGAUGGGGAUGCGUCUGAUUAGGUUGUUGGCGGGGUAACGGCCCACCAAGCCUACGAUCAGUAGGGUUCUGAGAGGAAGGUCCCCCACAUUGGAACUGAGACACGGUCCAAACUCCUACGGGAGGCAGCAGUGAGGAAUAUUGGUCAAUGGACGAGAGUCUGAACCAGCCAAGUAGCGUGCAGGAUGACGGCCCUAUGGGUUGUAAACUGCUUUUAUACAGGGAUAAGGUGACGUACGUGUACGUUAUUGUAGGUACUGUAUGAAUAAGGACCGGCUAAUUCCGUGCCAGCCGCCGC
Molecule: ribosomal RNA, 501 nt
Filed under: uncultured bacterium
Lineage: Bacteria
Description: bacterial SSU rRNA
Rfam family: Bacterial small subunit ribosomal RNA
Source: RNAcentral